GAUGAACGCUGGCGGCGUGCCUAAUACAUGCAAGUCGAGCGAACGGACGAGAAGCUUGCUUCUCUGAUGUUAGCGGCGGACGGGUGAGUAACACGUGGAUAACCUACCUAUAAGACUGGGAUAACUUCGGGAAACCGGAGCUAAUACCGGAUAAUAUUUUGAACCGCAUGGUUCAAUGGUGAAAGACGGUCUUGCUGUCACUUAUAGAUGGAUCCGCGCUGCAUUAGCUAGUUGGUAAGGUAACGGCUUACCAAGGCAACGAUGCAUAGCCGACCUGAGAGGGUGAUCGGCCACACUGGAACUGAGACACGGUCCAGACUCCUACGGGAGGCAGCAGUAGGGAAUCUUCCGCAAUGGGCGAAAGCCUGACGGAGCAACGCCGCGUGAGUGAUGAAGGUCUUCGGAUCGUAAAACUCUGUUAUUAGGGAAGAACAUAUGUGUAAGUAACUGUGCACAUCUUGACGGUACCUAAUCAGAAAGCCACGGCUAACUACGUG
RNAcentral lists this ribosomal RNA (497 nucleotides) under uncultured bacterium. RNAcentral describes it as "partial 16S ribosomal RNA". It matches the Rfam family "Bacterial small subunit ribosomal RNA", at positions 28 to 507 of the family's 1533-position model. The record is from RNAcentral.